This 202-nucleotide non-coding RNA is filed under the name pig gut metagenome. The record is from RNAcentral.
AAAACUAAUAUUUCGAUUGGUGGAAUGAUAGGGUAACGCCUUGAAACGCCACUUUAAUACUCCGAAUAGCGAAAAUAUUGUUAAGAAUAUUUUGGUUAUAAGCUCGGUGAAGUCGGCAGAGAAUUGCCCUAAUGAUUAAAAAAUAAUCAAGGAAAGUGUCCUAGAGGUAGGAUAUGCAAUCUAUAUGUCGGAAGUCUAUAAA